UUUUUUUUUUUUUUUUUGACAAGUGACUUGCUUGUUUCAUUGUUUUAUUGUUUCAUGGCACUUCAACUCAUAUAGAAGAAGACCAAACUUAUAUUAAACACCAUGAACAAUCUUCAAGAUUGGCCUGAACCAAUAGUUCGUGUUCAAUCCUUAUCGGAAAAUUGCCUGGAGGAAAUUCCUGGUCGAUAUAUCAAGCCACCGCUCGAAAGGCCAUCGAUAAACUCAUCAUCAUCAUCUUCUUCUUCUUCUUCCUCUUCCUCUUCUUCUUCUUCUUCUUCUUCUCCAAAUGAUGAUAUCAAUAUCCCUAUUAUUGAUCUUGGAGGCCUAAAUGGAAACGAUGAUAAUCUUCGAGCUUCCAUACUUAGUGAAAUUUCCAUGGCCUGUCGCAACUGGGGAUUCUUCCAAGUUAUCAACCAU
Molecule: unclassified non-coding RNA, 417 nt
Filed under: Hevea brasiliensis (rubber tree)
Lineage: Eukaryota; Viridiplantae; Streptophyta; Magnoliopsida; Malpighiales; Euphorbiaceae
Source: RNAcentral